AGAGUUUGAUCCUGGCUCAGAACGAACGUUAGCGGUGUGGAUUAGGCAUGCAAGUCGUGCGCGAAAGCCUUCGGGUGAGUAAAGCGGCGAAAGGGUGAGUAACACGUAAUCAACCUACCCCCCUGAUCGGGAUAACUGCUGGAAACGGCAGGUAAUACCGGAUGGUCCCACCGGGAGGCAUCUCCUGGUGGGUAAACGGCUUCGGCUGUAGGGGGAGGGGGUUGCGGCCUAUCAGCUUGUUGGUGGGGUAAUGGCCUACCAAGGCGAUGACGGGUAGCCGGUCUGAGAGGAUGGUCGGUCACACUGGGACUGAGACACUGCCCAGACUCCUACGGGAGGCUGCAGUCGAGAAUCUUCCGCAAUGGGCGAAAGCCUGACGGAGCGACACCGCGUGUAGGAUGAAGGCCCUAGGGUUGUAAACUACUGUCACGCAAUAGGAAAUCCCUUCGGGGUUGACCAAAGCGAGAGGAAGCACCGGCUAACUCCGUGCCAGCAGCCGCGGUAAGACGGAGGGUGCAAACGUUGUUCGGAAUCAUUGGGCAUAAAGGGCACGCAGGCGGCCCAGUCAGUCAGUUGUGAAAUCCCACGGCUCAAUCGUGGAACUGCAUCUGAUACUGCUGGGCUAGAGGCUGGUUGGGGUGAGUGGAACUCCUGGUGGAGCGGUGAAAUGCGUAGAUAUCAGGAGGAACACCAGUGGCGAAAGCGGCUCACUGGACCAGCUCUGACGCUCAGGUGCGAAAGCUAGGGUAGCGAACGGGAUUAGAUACCCCGGUAGUCCUAGCCGUAAACGAUGGGUACUAGGUAGGGGGAACGCCUAUGGUUUUCCCUACCGCAGCAAAUGUGUUAAGUACCCCGCCUGGGGAGUACGCUCGCAAGAGUAAAACUCAAAGGAAUUGACGGGGGAUCACACAAGCGGUGGAGCAUGUGGUUUAAUUCGAAGCAACGCGAAGAACCUUACCUGGCCUUGACAUGCACGGAUUAAUCCUGUGAAAGCAGGAGGACAGCCCUUCGGGGUCGGAACGUGCACAGGUGUUGCAUGGCUGUCGUCAGCUCGUGUCGUGAGAUGUUGGGUUAAGUCCCGUAACGAGCGAAACCCUUAUUGUUAGUUGCCAGCGGGUAAUGCCGGGGACUCUAGCGAGACUGCCGUUGUCAAAACGGAGGAAGGUGGGGACGACGUCAAGUCAUCAUGGCCCUUAUGGCCAGGGCGACACACGUGCUACAAUGGUCUGUACAAAGGGUCCCAAGACCGCAAGGUGGAGGUAAUCCCAUAAAGCAGGCCCCAGUUCGGAUUGCAGGCUGAAAUUCGCCUGCAUGAAGUUGGAAUCGCUAGUAAUCGCGUAUCAGCCAUGACGCGGUGAAUAUGUUCCUGAUCCUUGUACACACCGCCCGU
Molecule: ribosomal RNA, 1390 nt
Filed under: uncultured Planctomycetaceae bacterium
Lineage: Bacteria; Pseudomonadati; Planctomycetota; Planctomycetia; Planctomycetales; Planctomycetaceae
Description: bacterial SSU rRNA
Rfam family: Bacterial small subunit ribosomal RNA
Source: RNAcentral